This is a long non-coding RNA of Dipodomys spectabilis (banner-tailed kangaroo rat), 223 nucleotides long. RefSeq lists it as uncharacterized. The record is from RefSeq and is a predicted model, not a curated record. The transcript is spliced from 2 exons. NCBI's taxonomy places the organism in Eukaryota, Metazoa, Chordata, Mammalia, Rodentia, Heteromyidae.
GGCUCAGGUGGUAGAGAGCCAGCCUUGAGCGAAAGAGCCAGGCAGCACUGCACUAUGAGUCUCUGCAAAUGGAACUAGCCAUAUGCGUAUGGAACCUUCCUCCAUGGGUCCUAGGCACACCUCUGGCUGAAAACCACUGGUCCAGUGGUUCUACAGGCCAUACCAACCUUCUCAAUUCCUAAGACUUACAAAAAAAUUAGAUAUUAAAUAUAAAUGAGCAACA